RNAcentral lists this ribosomal RNA (533 nucleotides) under uncultured bacterium. Its description in RNAcentral is "bacterial SSU rRNA". It matches the Rfam family "Bacterial small subunit ribosomal RNA", at positions 556 to 1152 of the family's 1533-position model. The record is from RNAcentral.
AGGCGUAAAGCGUCUUUAGGCGGUUUUUUGUCAGUUAGUAACUAAAAUUCAGAACGUAAUUCUGGAAUGUUUACUAAGACGGUUUUUCUAGAGUUUAAUCGGGGUCAGUAGUAUCUCUUCAAGAGGGUUAAAAUUCAUAGAAAGAAGAGAGAGGGCCACGGGUGCAGGCAACUAACUAUAUUAAACUGACGCCAAAGGACUAAAGCGUAGGGAGCGAUCGGGAUUAGAAACCCCGGUAGUCUACGCCUUGACUGAUGAAAGUGAAACGUCAGAUAACUCUGCAUAUUAAAGCUAACGCGUUGAACUUUCCGCCUGAGGAGUACGACCGCAAGGUUGAAACUCAAAGGAAUUGACGGGGGUCUUUUAAAAACGGUGGAACAUGUGGUUUAAUCUGAUAAUCCGCGUAAAACCUUACCAGUUUUUACCAGGUGUUGCAUGGCUGUCGUCAGCCCGCGUCGUGAGGCGUGUCUCGAAAGAGCGUAACGGGCAGAACCCUUACUUGUAGUUGCAAGGAUUGUUUCGAAAGGGACAGA